Molecule: ribosomal RNA, 496 nt
Filed under: uncultured bacterium
Lineage: Bacteria
Description: partial 16S ribosomal RNA
Rfam family: Bacterial small subunit ribosomal RNA
Source: RNAcentral
GAUGAACGCUGGCGGCGUGCCUAAUACAUGCAAGUCGAGCGAACGGACGAGAAGCUUGCUUCUCUGAUGUUAGCGGCGGACGGGUGAGUAACACGUGGAUAACCUACCUAUAAGACUGGGAUAACUUCGGGAAACCGGAGCUAAUACCGGAUAAUAUUUUGAACCGCAUGGUUCAAAAGUGAAAGACGGUCUUGCUGUCACUUAUAGAUGGAUCCGCGCUGCAUUAGCUAGUUGGUAAGGUAACGGCUUACCAAGGCAACGAUGCAUAGCCGACCUGAGAGGGUGAUCGGCCACACUGGAACUGAGACACGGUCCAGACUCCUACGGGAGGCAGCAGUAGGGAAUCUUCCGCAAUGGGCGAAAGCCUGACGGAGCAACGCCGCGUGAGUGAUGAAGGUCUUCUGAUCGUAAAACUCUGUUAUUAGGGAAGAACAUAUGUGUAAGUAACUGUGCACAUCUUGACGGUACCUAAUCAGAAAGCCACGGCUAACUACGU